CCCGACGGGUCCUAUAGCGUGCUUAGCUACGUCACAAUCAGCGCGGAUCAAUGGAACAGCGGCGCUAUAACGUGCGAGGCUUACAACGUCAAAAACGUCACAGAAAAAGUCUCCGCGUCACUCCGCAGGCAAGAUUGCGUUCCUGUGUUGUUUUACGGACUGCCCGUCGUUCUCCUGCUAAUUCUGGUCGUCGUGUCUGUGGCGUGUGUUUACAGAAGACUUCAUAAAACUAAAACCGAUCACAAGUCCAGCGACGCACCCUGCCGUCCCCAGCGCCCCGCACGACACAGAACAGUCCAGGAUUACUCGACGGAGUACGCAUCGCUCAAUCUGUGAUGCUGAUCUAUAAAUGCAGCCGUGGAGAUGUUUGUAUUCUGGAGAGAGCGCGCGAGAGAGAGAGAGAAAGAGAGAGAGAGAGAGAGAGAGCUGUAUAGUCUUUCAAUUCCAAGUCCAAUUCACUGUGUAUUUAUUUACAUAGUAGUUAGUAAAUACAUGCGUAACACAAUUACAAUGUUAUUAUGCAUUGUUACAAUGUACUUACUGUGGAAAUCUCUGUGCUCGAUAUAACCCUAUCCUUAACACUAACCCUAACCCUUUUCUAUUGCAGCUGUGCACUUGCAUAUAUCGUUCAAAAAGACAUCCACACUAAGCACUUUGUAACUAUGCAUAAUACCACUGUAAUGAUGUGCCAGUCCGCAUGCAUUUACCAAAUACACAGCAAUGAGAGACACUUCAUGUCAAAUAUUACCCAUUUGUAUUGAAAUGAACUUUAAACAGCUGGACUCAAAUUCAAGCAAGCCUCUCAUGCUGC
This is a long non-coding RNA of Acipenser ruthenus (sterlet), 811 nucleotides long. RefSeq lists it as uncharacterized. The record is from RefSeq and is a predicted model, not a curated record. The transcript has 4 exons. Lineage: Eukaryota; Metazoa; Chordata; Actinopteri; Acipenseriformes; Acipenseridae.